Molecule: ribosomal RNA, 301 nt
Filed under: uncultured bacterium
Lineage: Bacteria
Description: partial 16S ribosomal RNA
Rfam family: Bacterial small subunit ribosomal RNA
Source: RNAcentral
CAGUCGCCGCGGUAAUACGUAGGUGGCAAGCGUUGUCCGGAAUUAUUGGGCGUAAAGCGCGCGCAGGCGGCCUAUCCAGUCUGUCUUAAAAGUUCGGGGCUCAACCCCGUGAUGGGAUGGAAACUAGUAGGCUAGAGUAUCGGAGAGGAAAGCGGAAUUCCUAGUGUAGCGGUGAAAUGCGUAGAUAUUAGGAAGAACACCAGUGGCGAAGGCGGCUUUCUGGACGAAAACUGACGCUGAGGCGCAAAAGCCAGGGGAGCGAACGGGAUUAGAUACCCCAGUAGUCCCUGUCUCUUAUACA